Molecule: long non-coding RNA, 285 nt
Organism: Mesocricetus auratus (golden hamster)
Lineage: Eukaryota; Metazoa; Chordata; Mammalia; Rodentia; Cricetidae
Exons: 3
Source: RefSeq, a predicted model, not a curated record
AUUCACCAAGCUCAGACUAAUGUUUGAUUGUGGGUCUGCAUCUCUUUCCAUUAGUUGCUGGAUGACACCUUUCUGAUGACAGUUGGGCUAGGCAGCAAUCUGUCUCUGGACCAUCCAACCUGUGAGAACUGGUGCUCCUGGCAGCGUCAGAGCCUAGAUAAUAAGAUCAGCAACUAUUAAAUGGGACCUCAUGAGACUGAAAAGCUUCUGUAAGGCAAAGGACAUCAUCAAUAGGACAAAAUGACAGUCUACAGAAUGGGAAAAGAUCUUCAUCAUCCCCACGUC